AGAGUUUGAUCAUGGCUCAGGAUGAACGCUAGCUACAGGCUUAACACAUGCAAGUCGAGGGGAAACGACAUCGAAAGCUUGCUUUUGAUGGGCGUCGACCGGCGCACGGGUGAGUAACGCGUAUCCAACCUGCCCACCACUUGGGGAUAACCUUGCGAAAGUAAGACUAAUACCCAAUGACGUCUCUAGAAGACAUCUGAAAGAGAAUUAAAGAUUUAUCGGUGAUGGAUGGGGAUGGCGUCUGAUUAGCUUGGUUGGCGGGGUAACGGCCCACCAAGGCUACGAUCAGUAGGGGUUCUGAGAGGAACGGUCCCCCACAUUGGAACUGAGACACGGUCCAAACUCCUACGGGAGGCA
RNAcentral lists this ribosomal RNA (357 nucleotides) under uncultured bacterium. RNAcentral's name for it is "bacterial SSU rRNA". It matches the Rfam family "Bacterial small subunit ribosomal RNA", at positions 8 to 350 of the family's 1533-position model. The record is from RNAcentral.